Molecule: unclassified non-coding RNA, 247 nt
Filed under: Glomus sp.
Lineage: Eukaryota; Fungi; Glomeromycota; Glomeromycetes; Glomerales; Glomeraceae
Description: partial contains 5.8S ribosomal RNA and internal transcribed spacer 2
Rfam family: 5.8S ribosomal RNA (bases 1-65)
Source: RNAcentral
GUGAAUCAUCGAAUUUUUGAACGCAAAUUGCACUCUCUUCUGAGAGUAUGCCUGUUUGAGUUUCAGCCUAAAAAAAAAUCGACAUAUUCGCUGUUUCUCGGUUACAUUCGGCGUAAAUUUGGUCAUCUUAAACCUUUGGGUUUUAAGCGUCUUAAAAUUUUCUUUACGAUUCAACGAACGUUUCUAAAAUUUACUUCUUAUACUUUUAAGGUAUCGAUCUUUAUUAGACGUUUCCAAUACAUGGUAU